This 2483-nucleotide long non-coding RNA is filed under the name Nicotiana benthamiana. RNAcentral describes it as "long non-coding RNA (NBEN_LNC035299)". Lineage: Eukaryota; Viridiplantae; Streptophyta; Magnoliopsida; Solanales; Solanaceae. The record is from RNAcentral.
AGGUUCUAAAUCUGUUACUGAUUUUAUGCACGGUAUUCGCGUGAUUGUGGCUGAAUUAUCUCUCCUGGGUGUUACUGUUGAUUCUGAGGAUCUUGUCAUUAAGGAAAUGGUCUUGAUGAUCCGUACUUUUGUGAGCAAUACGAGAAAAUUACUUCUCCCAAAACUCUCUACACAUUCUAUUCUCCAAAAUCUGCGAGUUACAGGACAUGUACCUGGAUGAUGAAAAUAGAAGAAGAAAUAAACAGCAGUACCAAACAGCAACACAAACACCCAGUAACUGACCCCAAAACAGCUUAAUAGCAACCAAAUAUCUAUCGAAACACAAGCAGAAACACCCCUAGAAUUCAGUAAUCAAGAACUGAACUCUAUUCAGUUUUCAAUGAUUGAAGAAGAACCAAAUGAAGAACCUAAGAAGACUGAUUUUCUAAAGUUCCUAACAUUCUCUUUGUGUGACCUUUGAGUUUGAUUUCCAAAAGCCAAACAGAAGAACAAAAACUGGACUGAUUCUUAUGACCCUUUUUCAACUUAUUUUUAAAUGUGCGGCCUCUCAAAGAUGACUUCAAAAGUCACCCCUUUAACGUCUCAAAAAUGAUCAAGCCUUCUCAGCCUAUCAUUUGAAUCAAUGUUUUCGACCUCUAAACUCUUAUUUCCCAUUCAAGUCCCUCAAAAAUCUGUUUUUCCUAUGCUCUCACUCCCCUCAAAUUCUUAAACCCUAAACCCUUUAUGAAUUCUUAGUGUCUUUUAGAUGUUCAAACUUAAAGCCCUUCUCCAAAAAUGUUCUCCCCAAUCUCUAUCCUAAGUCCCUCUAUUUAUAUCCAAAAGAAACCCUUUCCAGCCCCCCUUUUCCUUUUACAGUUGUCAAAAAAAACUUUUAUUAUUACCCCAUGCCUCUUUUUACUUUCCAGCUUCUAUAUUCCUCAACUAUGUGAACCCUUCAGCUUUUCAAUAUUACCUAUUGUUUCUGAUUUCCAAUUUAGUAAAAACGUUCAACAGAUCAUUACUCUCAUAACCCAUUAGAGCUCUACUCAUUACUUAAUGCCUCCCUCUCCCCCUCCUCAUUAAUAAACUAAAGCAUUAGUUUAAAAGCAUAUCAGGACCCCACUGGAUAGACCACUCGAGUUUGAACCAUCUUCAAACUUUCAGUCUUUCUAAAAUACCCUUGACAACCCCUGUGAUUUACCCUAUGACCCCCUACUGUACCUCAUCAGUUAUAACCAAUUCAAACCUAAUCAAUUUAAACUAAGUAAUCUCAUUACUGACUCCUAAUCAACAUAACCACAUCAAAACUGAAUUCAAACUAAAAACACCAACUAUAACCAAUCCUUAACACAAUCAAGCAACAUAAUCAAUCACCUACUAAAACAGGUGAACUUAAACCAACUAGACCAAUAUACUUAAUUGAAUUAGCAAACAAAAGAAGAAACAGCCAGAAAAGCUUUAAGGGGAUUGACAGAUUCAAAUGACUAAUCAUUUCAGUUCAAUGUGAUGAACUGCAUAUACCAACAGGUUUAUUUCAACACAAAAUUAGAAAAGAAAAGAAAUAGGAGGGUAAACCUACUGGAGUAAACAAAAAAAUUAAAUUAUUAUCAUGCUAAUCUAAUAUUCAAGCAUAACAGACUACUCGAUGCCAGUUAUUCAAUCGAUUACACAAAUUAGAACGUAUAAUUGUCAACAAUCAGAAAACUUGGACCAAAUAAAAGGUCUAAUGGAGAGGAAGAAGAGCAAUAAAUAAAAAAAUGAAUUAAAAACCUAUUUUAGGCAAACGAUUAGCUAUUCAGACGAACAUUGAAGUAUUAAUCUAACAAAAAUCAGAAAGGGAGGAGGAUUAAGAACCUAUGAUUAAUUUAAACUUAAAACGUACGAAAAGCUAAUUAAAACUUAACACAAACAAACGAACAUAUAUAUAGAAAAAGAAAAAGAAGACAUUCAAGAGAGCUUACUGAUUUUUCGGAUUCCAAACGACAUGCUCUUCGAAGUCGAUUUCCAGUUAGUAUUAUAUGUCUAUUUCGUCAGAAAUAGGCCUAUACUACUAACUAGAAACCAACUUGACCCUGACGACGUCGAAGCAGUCCCGAACCCCUGAACCUAGAUCCGUCAUUUGAUGAGUUUAACUUGGAUUUGGACCAGAUUGGUCAAGAAUAAGGGGCGAGGGUGGUUUGGUGGAUAGCUGGUGUGUUUUUGGGGUGGAUUGGACGACCUAAGAUUUUUGCUCGAAUCAUCGAUUGGGAUUCGAGACGGUUCGUGAUGAUUGGAGUUUAACAGUGGACGUAUUUGGAUUGAGGGGGUCGGAUGGUCAAGGGGUGUUAUUUUCAUGGCCAUCAGCAUCGUUGCCGCGGGCUUUCAGGCGAAGGCAUACGAGGGUGGCUAGGGUUCUUCAGGGGUUGUUUAGUUCUCUGGUUUGGGAGACGAAGAGGGACGGGGGGUUCUGAAGGGGGAAGGGUCUUGUCUAGGAAUAUAUACUAGAUUAAGGACUCAAUCCAGUC